GAAACACCGAAACAGUUUGCUGGUGCCUCCUCUGAGGGCACAGGAAUCCCACUGAAGUGAGAGUAUAAGUAAUAUAGGAGUCCCAAAAAGAAAGGACUAGAGAAUCAAACCAGCACAUCUACUAAAAAGUCUGGAAACAUCUGAAUUUUCUACACAAAGGAAAUGUAAUAGAUCUCAAUUGUCUAGACUUCAGUAAAUUAUUACAUAUGGGAAACAUGGGAAAUUAUUAGUUGAUCUGGAGAAGAUGGAAAUUAGCUGAAGUACUGUAACACUGGAAAAGAACUGUCUGAAAGUCAAAACUCCAACAGGUGCAAUUAAGUCCUCACAGUCCCCAUAUGAACCAGGUCUUCCUUUCACUCUCAGUAUCAACACUGAAUUCAUUUGCUGUACCUUCAUGUUAUAUCAGUGUUCCUGGGGGAGAGGGCCUUGCUGAUAUGGAGGAGGACAGGAAAAAUAGUCCUAAAUCAAUCAGAAGAAAUCCAACAAGGGUAAGUACAGAGUCCUGCACUUGGGAAAGAAUAGUUGCAUGCAUAAAUACAGACUGGGGAAUGACUGGUAGUAGAAUGAUUGCAGUAGUAUGGAGAAUGACCCGUGGACCAUGAAUACUGUGGACCAUAAGCUGAAUGUGAGCCAGCAUAUAGAAGGGAUCUCAUGCAGUCAUUUAGUUCAGUGUAACAGGAGACCUCUAACCCCUGUCACUUUAAGAGUGAGGGAAUUAUUAUAAUUAUGUGGCUUGCAGGAGUGUUGGCAGCUGAAUUGGUGCCAGCUGCAAACAGGCAAGCAGCUGAAGGGAGUUAGGAGCCACAGCUUUAAGGCAGUAACAAAUUGCAAGCCACUUAUCUGAGGGAGGCAGCAAAAAGAUAAGCAGGGAUACAGGUUUUCUGUUUCUCACAGAAAAAUGGAGUAAACAACGGGUUUUACCUUUUACCAGAGGCAAACCCAGAUUUCUCAUUUUAUUGGAGAAGACCCAUGGAUUUUGCUCCCUGCAGGCUGGCAGAGCUCUAGCUGAGAGCAUGAAGCCUGACAAGUUUCAAGAAGAGUGGUGCAGG
Long non-coding RNA from Alligator sinensis (Chinese alligator), 1049 nucleotides. RefSeq lists it as uncharacterized. NCBI's taxonomy places the organism in Eukaryota, Metazoa, Chordata, Crocodylia, Alligatoridae. The record is from RefSeq and is a predicted model, not a curated record. The transcript is spliced from 4 exons.